This 252-nucleotide ribosomal RNA is filed under the name uncultured bacterium. RNAcentral's name for it is "partial 16S ribosomal RNA". It matches the Rfam family "Bacterial small subunit ribosomal RNA", at positions 524 to 776 of the family's 1533-position model. The record is from RNAcentral.
UACAGGUGGGGCAACCGAUAUCUCGCGUCGACAGGUGUAAAAGGUAUGUAGGUAUGCUAGAUCUCAUAAUAGGUAAAUUUUUAUUGAUCAAUAAAAACAUAUAUUUGAUGACUAGUGAGUAAUUUGAUGGAAAUUUAAAGAAUUUCGAGGCUAACCGUAAAAUGUAGUAACCCUUGAAGGAAUGCCGAAUGUGUAAACAUUUCUUUUUUGUAAAAUUUGAGCUAAAAUACGAAAACAUGGGUAGCGAACCGG